UGAGCACCCUUACCUUUCACAACGCGGAUAUAGGUGAUAACUUUACUACCGAAACGCGACAGAACAUCUAAAAGUACUUCUUCAAACAGAAAUACUAGAAAACUAUCCGAAUUUUGACAACACACUACCGAUCUAAAGUCGUUCACCACUAAACUGACCGGCCGUCCAGCCAAUCAAGCCAAUAACAGUUCCGCAAGUGGUCCAUGCGCAGGUGCAAUACUUUUGUCCCUGCGUAGUACAGAUUACAGGUGUUAUUCAAAGCUAACUUCGCGUUGGAAGUUAAUAGGGGGAGUUUUAGAACAUGGAUAGUUUUACGUGUUAUUCUGAGAGCCUGUAUGCAACCUUUUACCGUAAUUAUGGCUUUAUUUAUAUUGAACUCCUUCUGGAUUCAAAUUAUUCGCGAAAAGCUCACUGGCAGCUAAAUUGUAAUUACACUUUAACUAGUAAAAUUUGACACUUAUUUUGAUUAGAUGUCGUUGUGAUUUGUUUGGUUUAGUUCUACUCAGCUUGUGCGAGCCUUUAAACAAAUAGAAACAUAUUGAAAAGUGUUUAACAAUGGCCAGUAAUGUUCAUAUAUAAAGACGAGUAAUGUUUACGUUUCGCAGCGCCCCCAUCGGUAGUUGAACUCGCAAAUUCCAUUCCAUCUUUCACCAGUGACACAGCUGGGCUAGUAAUGGGAAAAUUGAAUGAAUCGAUUAAGCAAAAAAUCGAAGUUUUCAAAUUUCCGGAGACGGAGAAGUUAUAUGGCCGGAUAUUCAUGUCGAAGAGAGAUGUAAACAAUAAGUUUUAUCGCAAAGUAUUAUUUCGUCGGCCGACGAAAGAGACAACAAAUUCAAUUUUGCUGAUAUCAAAGAGAAGAGAAUCAAUUCAAUUUAAAGGCGGGAGAGAAGGAUUGAAAAGUUAAAUAGGCUUUAACUGAUAUAAAGAGAGUUAGACUUAAGAAUAAGAUCUUAUUUUAGUGUUUUACUGAAGACUGGCAGAAGGGAUAUUUAAUACAAAAUAUAAAAAAUAAAAUAUUGUAGUGAUAUGCUUUAUGCCGCCCUAUUUGUAUACCGGAUGCCCACCGACGUAUCCAAAAAACCCCCUAUAUGAAUUCCGAAUAGAAAGUGUUAUUUUAAUUUUUCCUGAAUUAUCAACGGGUCAAAAAAAAAAAAAUUAUGAACGGACUUGGAAUUUAUGACGUAUUAGUAGAAUAGAUUUUUCAUAAAAAUAAAAACGCGAUGACUAAAUUAUUAUUAAAGCUGCUCAAAUGCAUAAUUUUAUCCUCCAUCGUUGUUCUCGUUCCCAGUGUUGUAUUCUUUCAUAUUGUUUAUAUCGAGUGGCGUGCGGUAAAAUUUUAAAGAAGGGAAGCAAUUUUUUAAUAUAUUUUACCUACCACCACUACUUACAGUAGUCAGUAGGACAAGACACGCUGCCUAUAAUCUAAGUAAGUUACAUUUUACGCAUUAUAAAUCAAACGCACAGUUCUGUUACGGUUAAUUUCUGUCUAACCGGCAUCUAAUUAUUCGUCAAAUCAUAUUGUUAAAUUAGUAAAUUGAACAUCAACUGUUGCUAAAUGCCUCUAUUAUAAAAUGUUAAACGAAACCUUAACACCCCGAAAUAUUAUACAAAUAGCAGAAAACCAGUACGAACUACUGCGUCAAAAAUAAGAAGUUGCUCAUUUGAAGUUCUUUUUUUGGAGAAUGUAUUGCUAACUUACUUUAAUUAGUACUUAGGUACUUAAUAAUAAUUAGCAUGUAACAUGAAAAACCUUCUCCGA
This is a long non-coding RNA of Dendroctonus ponderosae (mountain pine beetle), 1759 nucleotides long. RefSeq lists it as uncharacterized. The record is from RefSeq and is a predicted model, not a curated record. NCBI's taxonomy places the organism in Eukaryota, Metazoa, Arthropoda, Insecta, Coleoptera, Curculionidae. The transcript is spliced from 2 exons.